GUGGGGAAUCUUGCGCAAUGGGCGAAAGCCUGACGCAGCAACGCCGCGUGCGGGAUGAAGGCCUUCGGGUUGUAAACCGCUUUCAGCAGGGACGAAAAUGACGGUACCUGCAGAAGAAGCUCCGGCUAACUACGUGCCAGCAGCCGCGGUAAUACGUAGGGAGCAAGCGUUGUCCGGAUUUAUUGGGCGUAAAGAGCUCGUAGGCGGUUUCGUAAGUCGAGUGUGAAAAAUCUGGGCUUAACCCAGUGGAGCACUCGAUACUGCGAUGACUUGAGUCUGGUAGAGGAGUGUGGAAUUCCUGGUGUAGCGGUGAAAUGCGCAGAUAUCAGGAGGAACACCAACGGCGAAGGCAGCACUCUGGGCCAGUACUGACGCUGAGGAGCGAAAGCGUGGGGAGCAAACAGGAUUAGAUACCCCUGUAGUCC
This 425-nucleotide ribosomal RNA is filed under the name uncultured bacterium. RNAcentral describes it as "partial 16S ribosomal RNA". It matches the Rfam family "Bacterial small subunit ribosomal RNA", at positions 354 to 796 of the family's 1533-position model. The record is from RNAcentral.